AAAUUGAAGAGUUUGAUCAUGGCUCAGAUUGAACGCUGGCGGCAGGCCUAACACAUGCAAGUCGAACGGUAACAGGAAACAGCUUGCUGUUUCGCUGACGAGUGGCGGACGGGGGAGUAAUGUCUGGGAAACUGCCUGAUGGAGGGGGAUAACUACUGGAAACGGUAGCUAAUACCGCAUAACGUCGCAAGACCAAAGAGGGGGAC
RNAcentral lists this ribosomal RNA (206 nucleotides) under Escherichia coli. RNAcentral describes it as "partial 16S ribosomal RNA". It matches the Rfam family "Bacterial small subunit ribosomal RNA", at positions 1 to 214 of the family's 1533-position model. Lineage: Bacteria; Pseudomonadati; Pseudomonadota; Gammaproteobacteria; Enterobacterales; Enterobacteriaceae. The record is from RNAcentral.